This 3643-nucleotide long non-coding RNA is filed under the name Vigna radiata. RNAcentral's name for it is "long non-coding RNA (VRAD_LNC011332)". Lineage: Eukaryota; Viridiplantae; Streptophyta; Magnoliopsida; Fabales; Fabaceae. The record is from RNAcentral.
GUCGAUGGAUGGCUUAGUUACUCGACUCCUUCGGGUACCUACAUUGGUAAAGGAAGAGAAUUUAAGUGAUGCUAUUGAAACAUUAGCAAUGGUGACACAGCGAGGAAGAGGAGGAGGUAGGAGCAAUCGAGGAGGAUGUGGUGGUCGAAGUGGACGUCGUCAAUGCUCAUAUUGUAAGAGAAUGGGUCAUACCCAAGAUAAAUGUUAUUUCUUGCAUGGCUUUAGCAGACAAAGCUGCUCAUGUGUCUAAAUCUGAUAAUUCAGAAUCUAGAAUUUCUAAUGAAGAGUACCAAGAGUUUUUGAAGUGGCACAAUCAAAGGAAGGUGUCAUCAUUUCACAAAGAAAAUAUGCUCUUGAUAUUUUGGAGGAAACAUGCCUGACAAGUUGCAAGUCCAUUGAUAGUCCUAUGGACUCAAAGCAAAAGUUAAUGAAAGACCAAGGUGAACUUUUCUCAGACCCAGAGAGAUAUAGAAUGCUUGUUGGAAAACUCAUCUAUCUUACCAUAACAAGACCUGAUCUUUCUUAUCCAGUGGGAAUUGUGAGUCAAUUUAUGCAAAAUCCACAUGUUGAUCAUUGGAAUGCAGUGAUUCGCAUUCUCAGAUAUGUAAAAGGGAACCCAUGACAGGGAUUGUUAUUUGAGGACAAGGGGAGCACUCGUGUUGAGGGAUAUUGUGAUGUAGAUUAGGCUGGUUGUCCAAUUGACAGAUCUACCUCAGGAUAUUGUGUUUUAUUUGGAGGGAAUCUUGUAUCUUGGAAAAGUAAGAAACAAAGUGUUGUUGCUCGAUCUAGUGCUAAAGCUAAGUAUCGAUCUAUGGCUCUAACUACAUGUGAACUUGUGUGGAUUAGACAACUCCUUCAAGAGUUGAAAUUUUGUGAAAAUGAGCAGAUGAAGUUGUACUGUGACAAUCAAGCCACCCUUCACAUUGCCUCCAAUCCAGUGUUUCAUGAAAGAACAACACAUAGAGAUUGAUUGUCAUUUUAUCAGAGAAAAGUUAUUGUCAAAGGAUGUUGUUACUGAGUUUAUCAACUCUAAUGAACAACUCGCAGACAUUCUGACCAAAUCUCUAAGGGGGCCUAGAAUUCAAUUUAUAAGUUCCAAGCUUGGUGCAUAUGAUCUAUAUGCUCCAGCUUGAGGGGGAGUGUUGAAGUAUAAUGUCUUUAUUUUAUUAUUAAUACUUAUGUUAGGGUUUGUUAGGAGGGGCUUCCCACCUUUUUUAUCUUUCAGAACUACUGUCUCUAUAAAUACAAUAGUAAAGUGUAUCAGUUUUACUUAAUCAAAAUAUAAAGACUUUUCAUUUUCUCUAAACUUUAAGUGUAUCCACUUAUAUAUUAUAAAUUUGCCUUAUUUCUAGUCGACAUGAGACUUCUAACAUAUAUACAUCUCAAGCGUGAGACUAGACAUUAAUGGGUGGUCCGAUAACAGCCUGAUAGCGGGUGGAACAAUAUGCCCAACAAACAACAAAUAUCAUUAGGAUAGGCUUUAACUAUAGUUUUGAUACUAUGUUAAGAAGUGGACUUUAAACCUAACUUAACUCCACAAAACCGGCUUGUAAGGUGAAGUUUACACUCACUUAUAUAUUAUAAAUUGGCCUUAUCUCUAGUUGAUGCGGGACUUCCAACAUAAAACACCAACGACUCUUUUAAGAGUAUGAAAAUAACCACUAUGUCCUCCCAUAGGUGUUUCAUGCAGCUCUUUAAUAAUUAUAAAAUUUCUGGAAGAAUGCUAGGCAACACCAAUAUUCCUUGGUAGUACAGGCUCCCUUUUUUGAUCUCGUAAAGAGUGUGUGCAUUAGGGUCUACCAUUAAGUCUGUCAUGAUACUACUUAAUUUGUUACUUUUCUCACCGAGUGGGCAUUAGGGUCUACCAGUAAGUCUGUCAUGAUACUACUUAAUUUGUUACCUUUCUCACCUCGUCUUCCCAGUCUUCCCAAUCUUCCCAUUCUUGGGGCUGCAAAAUAGAGAUGCUACUAAAAUAAGCAAAUCUGGAAUAAUGCAUCAGCCAAUGUGUUCCCUCCAAAGCCACCACUACUGCUUGCGUUCUUUCAACAUUAGAGACUUCUUGCAAACAGAAAUAUCUGUCCAAUCUAUUAGUCCAGCCAAACACAUCUUCUCCUGCAAAGAUUGGAAUGUCGAGUUUACACCACCUUGAACCUCUCGACAUCUACCAAUUUUGCUCAUUUUGACUUAUGGGCUGAAAACGCGUUCUAAUUUGAUCCAGACGUUGCAGUGCAUGUCACCACACUCGACUACCCAUUGAUCAAAUUCUCCAUCCUCUGCAAACGUUCAUUUUGCUCCUUUUCCAAUCUUUCUCCAUCAUGCACAAAUUUUUGAAACAAGCGUUCCAAAGCUUUUAUUCUUGAAUCCAUUCUGGUGUUAACCAUAAGCCUCCUACACUGCUACCACAGGACCAAGAAGGGAGCUCUGAAUACCAUUUGAUAGGGCACUCAGUAGCUACAGAAAGAUCCAAGACAGACUUUUGAAUGAUUUUAUUAUGAAUACAGCUGUUCUGCCAAUGUGGCAGGAAUACAACCCAAGAUGUCUCAGAACACAGUUCUUUUCAGAGGACCCUAACUCUCCCAAUCCCUUUUCCUCCUAAAACUCCAAAAACUAGAAAACUACAGCCUAAAGACAUACUAUAUAUAAUAGUCUGUUUUACAAGGUUACAACUGUAAGAGGUUAUAACUGCCUCCUUUAUUUAUUUCUCCUAGUAUAGACUUUACCACUCAACCUUUUAGAUGGGUACCCAAUAGUAUAUGUUGAUGACAUUGUUCUUACAAACAGUGAUCACCAUGACAUUUCACAGAUGAAACAACAUCUUUGUCAGCACUUUCAGACCAAAAAUCUUGGUAAACUUAGAUAUUUCUUAGGGACUGAGGUAGCACAAUCUAGCAAUGGAAUUGUUUUUAGAAAAGGAAGUAUGCAUUGGAUAUUUUUGGAGAAAUUGGGUUAAUGAGUUCAAUGUUUGUUUAUACACCCAUAGAUCCGAAUGCCAAACUCUUAUUUAGUUAGGGGAAGUCUCUCUCAAAUCUUGAGAAAUAUAAAAGAUUAGUUGGAAAGUUUAAUUAUCUAUAGUUACUCUCCCUGACAUUUCUUUUGCAAAUGGAUAUUCACAUUAAAAUACAAGUCUGAUUGGUUUAUUCAAAGGUACAAAAGCAAGGUUGAUCCCAAGGGAUAGCUUGAAGCGUAUGGAAUAAACUACCAGGAUGCCUUUGCACCAUUUUCUAAAAUGAGUAUUGUUGCCCACUUUGAUUGGAAACUUUACAAUAUGAAGUUAAAAUGUCUUUCUCCAUGCUGACCUAGAAGAAGAAAUCUACAUGAAUAUUCCACCAGGGUUUGAAAGAGAGAAAAAAUAAAGUGUGCACAUUGCGGAAGGCUUUUUAUGGACUGAAACAUUCCCCUAGAUCUUGGUUUGGAAGAUUCACAAAAGGCCUCAACCAUUUGUGAGCUUGUUUGGCUUAAGCAAUUGCCUAGAAAGUUAUAAUUUGGAGAUAUCAUUCAAAUGACACUUAUAUGUAACAAUUAGGCUAUUUUUCAUAUUAGUUCUAAUCUUGUCAUUUAUGAGAGGACCAAACACAUCGAGAUGGACUGUCAUUUCAUUGUGAGAAGAUUGUAUUUGGAGACAUCAAGAUUGAGUUCGUUAACU